This 208-nucleotide ribosomal RNA is filed under the name uncultured bacterium. Its description in RNAcentral is "partial 16S ribosomal RNA". It matches the Rfam family "Bacterial small subunit ribosomal RNA", at positions 1293 to 1500 of the family's 1533-position model. The record is from RNAcentral.
UCGGAUUGCAGUCUGCAACUCGACUGCAUGAAGCUGGAAUCGCUAGUAAUCGCGGAUCAGAAUGCCGCGGUGAAUACGUUCCCGGGUCUUGUACACACCGCCCGUCACACCAUGGGAGUCAGUAACGCCCGAAGUCAGUGACCGAACCGAGAGGACGGAGCUGCCGAAGGCGGGACGGAUAACUGGGGUGAAGUCGUAACAAGGUACC